ACCUCGGUAGCUCGGUGGCUAGCGCGUCAAGCUAGCAAUCCGGGGCUCGAGGGUUCGAAUCUCCGCCUCGGGUG
Non-coding RNA from Acanthoscelides obtectus, 74 nucleotides. Lineage: Eukaryota; Metazoa; Arthropoda; Insecta; Coleoptera; Chrysomelidae. The record is from the annotation of a GenBank genome assembly.